Manis pentadactyla (Chinese pangolin) is the source of this 107-nucleotide small nuclear RNA. The record is from RefSeq and is a predicted model, not a curated record. Lineage: Eukaryota; Metazoa; Chordata; Mammalia; Pholidota; Manidae.
GUGCUCACUUCAGCAGCACAUGUACUAAAACUGAAGCAAUACAGAUAAGAUUAGCACAGCCCCUGCACAAGCACAAUGUGCAAAUUCAUGAAGCAUUGCAUAUUUUU